GACGAACGCUGGCGGCGUGCUUAACACAUGCAAGUGGAGCGACGAACCGGGGCUUGCCCCGGGGCAGAGCCGCGAACGGGUGAGUAACACGUGGGUAACCUGCCUCAAUGAUUGGGACAACCCGGGGAAACUCGGGCUAAUACCAAAUGUGUUCACUCCUUCUAAGGGGAGUGAGGAAAGGAAGCUUCGGCCUCCGCAUUGAGAUGGGCCCGCGGCCCAUUAGCUUGUUGGUGAGGUAACGGCUCACCAAGGCUUCGAUGGGUAGCUGGUCUGAGAGGACGAUCAGCCACACUGGGACUGAGACACGGCCCAGACUCCUACGGGAGGCAGCAGUGGGAAUCUUGCACAAUGCGCGAAAGCGUGAUGCAGCAACGCCGCGUGGGGAAGACGGCCUCGGUUGUAA
This 403-nucleotide ribosomal RNA is filed under the name uncultured bacterium. Its description in RNAcentral is "bacterial SSU rRNA". It matches the Rfam family "Bacterial small subunit ribosomal RNA", at positions 28 to 428 of the family's 1533-position model. The record is from RNAcentral.